UGGGGAAUUUUGGACAAUGGGCGAAAGCCUGAUCCAGCAAUGCCGCGUGUGUGAAGAAGGCCUUCGGGUUGUAAAGCACUUUUGUCCGGAAAGAAAUCCUUGGCUCUAAUACAGUCGGGGGAUGACGGUACCGGAAGAAUAAGCACCGGCUAACUACGUGCCAGCAGCCGCGGUAAUACGUAGGGUGCAAGCGUUAAUCGGAAUUACUGGGCGUAAAGCGUGCGCAGGCGGUUUGCUAAGACCGAUGUGAAAUCCCCGGGCUCAACCUGGGAACUGCAUUGGUGACUGGCAGGCUAGAGUAUGGCAGAGGGGGGUAGAAUUCCACGUGUAGCAGUGAAAUGCGUAGAGAUGUGGAGGAAUGCCGAUGGCGAAGGCAGCCCCCUGGGCCAAUACUGACGCUCAUGCACGAAAGCGUGGGGAGCAAACAGGAUUAGAUACCCUGGUAGUCCACGCCCUAAACGAUGUCAACUAGUUGUGGGGAUUCAUUCCUUAGUAACGUAGCUAACGCGUGAAGUUGACCGCCUGGGGAGUACGGUCGCAAGAUUAAAACUUAAAGGAAUUGACGGGGUCAUAGCUGUUUCCU
Molecule: ribosomal RNA, 583 nt
Filed under: uncultured bacterium
Lineage: Bacteria
Description: partial 16S ribosomal RNA
Rfam family: Bacterial small subunit ribosomal RNA
Source: RNAcentral